UACCGGCGGCUCGAGUGGUGGCCACUAUUACUGGGCUUAAAGCGUUCGUAGCUGGUUUGUUAAGUCUCUGGGGAAAUCUUCCGGCUUAACCGGAAGGCGUCUCAGGGAUACUGGCAGACUAGGGACCGGGAGAGGUGAGAGGUACUCCAGGGGUAGGAGUGAAAUCCUGUAAUCCUUGGGGGACCACCUGUGGCGAAGGCGUCUCACCAGAACGGCUCCGACAGUGAGGGACGAAAGCUGGGGGAGCAAACCGG
Molecule: ribosomal RNA, 254 nt
Filed under: uncultured bacterium
Lineage: Bacteria
Also listed under: 1 other name
Description: partial 16S ribosomal RNA
Rfam family: Archaeal small subunit ribosomal RNA
Source: RNAcentral